Zalophus californianus (California sea lion) is the source of this 1358-nucleotide long non-coding RNA. RefSeq lists it as uncharacterized. The transcript has 3 exons. The record is from RefSeq and is a predicted model, not a curated record. Lineage: Eukaryota; Metazoa; Chordata; Mammalia; Carnivora; Otariidae.
AAUGUAUCCUAACCAGGGAAUGUGAAAGAAGGGGACAAUAAUUUAUUAAUUUAUUCUUCUAGCACCUUUUUGGGUUCAUGCUUUAAGGUGUAUAAAAUCUCAUCCUUGCAGAGGUGGUUGAGUACCUGGAACCAGAUUUUAGAAUGGAUAAUAUUUUGAGUUUUAAAUGUAUGAUCAUGGAAUUGUGCUUUGAAGAAACUUUGAGGUCUGUUUGAGGCUCUGUCAUUUUAGAAGACUAAAGCUUUAUUCCCUGGAGCUGAGCUGUGGUGUCUUCGGCCCCUUUCCCAACUCAUACAGAACCCUGGCAGCCUGGCCUGUGCCUUCUAAGACAGAAGUUUGGAAGACUUUUUCUCCAGAGAAAUGGAUUAACCCAAGAGAAAGGAUCUAUACAUAAUUGAGGAUCCCUCAUGAAACAAAACUCUAAAGCUCUAAGCUGUCCCACCAGAGAGCUAUAUGACAGUCACAUAGUAAUAACCUAAACAUCAGUGUUAGGGAUCGCUUAAGUCAUGACAUAUUCCAAAAAAUGGUAUAUAUUUAAGCACUUAAAAUACAUAAAGAAACUAUAUACCAUGGAAAAGUGUUCACAAGUUACUUUAAAUGAAAAAAAGUAUAUGUAAUAUGUUCUACUUCAACACCAUAAUUCCACUUAAAAGGAAUGUAUUAGAAAUCAGAUUCCACAUAAAGAUAUGGAUAGAGAUAUAUGAUGUUAUCUCAGGCUUAUUUAAAGUAAAAAACGUAUUAGAAAUAACUUGGAUUAUCAACAAUGAUAGAUUGGAUAAAUGAAUUCUAUUUGUUCAUAGAACACGAUAUGGUCAUAAGAAUUCUGCUUUAUUAGAUACUUAAUUAACGAGAAAAUGCUUAUAUUUUAUACGUUAAAACAGUCAGCAACACCAUGUAUAUGUUAUAAUCCCAAUUUCAAACACACACACACACACGUACAACAUUUUCACAAUGAUGUUAUAGGUUCAUUCACAGAGGUAGGAUUCUGGGGUAGUUUUUCUGUUCCUUGGCUGUUUUGAAUUUCCCCAGUUUUCUACAGUGGAAGUUUUUUUUAAACUUUUUUGGAAAUUUUUCGAAAAUACAGAAAAGUAGAGACAAUCAUGUAAUAACUAUCAUUUACCCAAUACCCAGAUUCAACAAUUAUUCAUCAUUUUGCCAGUCUCAUUUCCUCUCUCCCUUUUUAUUGAGGGCCAGAAAAGGAAAGGCUGGAGUUAUUUUUAAAGUAGAUCCCAAACAUCAAAUUAUUUACCUAUAAAUACUUAAAUAUGCAUUUCUAACUGUUAAGGACUUUAAAAACCUAACCAUUAUGUCAUUUUCACACCUAAUAAAAGUAGCUAAUUUCUUAAUAUUCCCUGAUU